This 362-nucleotide ribosomal RNA is filed under the name uncultured eukaryote. Its description in RNAcentral is "partial 18S ribosomal RNA". It matches the Rfam family "Eukaryotic small subunit ribosomal RNA", at positions 592 to 976 of the family's 1831-position model. The record is from RNAcentral.
CAAUAGCAUAUAUUAACGUUGUUGCAGUUGAAAAGCUCGUAGUUGAACUUUUGGUAGGAGCGACCUGGCCUUGGGCGCAUGCCCUUGUUUGCCGUGUGUCGUAUCUGGCCAUCCUUUUCUUCUUUUCGGAAGGAAUCUUUUACUGUGAGUAAACUGGAGUGCUCAAAACAAGACGUUUGUUUGGUACAUUAAAGCAUGGAAUAAUAAGAUAGGACCUGGUUACUAUUUUGUUGGUUUGCAUAGCUAGGUAAUGAUUAACAGGGACAGUUGGGGGUAUUCGUAUUUAAUUGUCAGAGGUGAAAUUCUUGGAUUUAUGAAAGACGAACGACUGCGAAAGCAUUUACCAAGGAUGUUUNCAUUAA